This 433-nucleotide ribosomal RNA is filed under the name uncultured bacterium. RNAcentral describes it as "partial 16S ribosomal RNA". It matches the Rfam family "Bacterial small subunit ribosomal RNA", at positions 29 to 507 of the family's 1533-position model. The record is from RNAcentral.
AACGAACGCUGGCGGCAUGCCUAACACAUGCAAGUCGAACGAGACCUUCGGGUCUAGUGGCGCACGGGUGCGUAACGCGUGGGAACCUGCCCUUAGGUUCGGAAUAACUCCCCGAAAGGGGUGCUAAUACCGGAUAAUGUCUUCGGACCAAAGAUUUAUCGCCUUUGGAUGGGCCCGCGUUGGAUUAGCUAGUUGGUAGGGUAAAAGCCUACCAAGGCGACGAUCCAUAGCUGGUCUGAGAGGAUGGUCAGCCACACUGGGACUGGGACACGGCCCAGACUCCUACGGGAGGCAGCAGUGGGGAAUAUUGGACAAUGGGGGAAAGCAUGAUGCAGCAAUGCCGCGUGAGUGAUGAAGGCCUUAGGGUUGUAAAGCUCUUUUACCCGGGAUGAUAAUGACAGUACCGGGAGAAUAAGCUCCGGCUAACUCCGUG